UCUUUAGCUGCCACCUCUGGGGCUCCCAGGGGCCGGCCCCGCCCCUCGGGCUGCGCUGGGGGGAGAGGCGGGGCCAGGAGCCCCAGAGCGGGCGGGCUGCGGUGGGGAGGGUGGCCCGAGCAGGUGGAGGGCUGGCGGAGCAGAGGCAGAGGGGCUGCCCUGGCUCGGCCUCUGGGGCCCGAGCUCCAGCGCCCAGCUCUCCCCGCCUUGCUGGCCCCCGAUGCCUGCCAGACUUUUGUCUUUGCCGGAGCCCCUCCCCGUCCAGUUGGGAUUUGGGGGCCGAGCUGUCUGGGGUCCCGGGGCCAAUGCAGUGCCGGCUCCUCCGGGGCCUGGCAGGAGCCCUCCUCACCCUCCUGUGCUUGGGGCUCCUCUCCCUUCGCUACCACGUGAGCCGGUCCCCGAAGAGCGUGCAGGGGACCCCCGGGCUGAGCCCACCGAGCCCGCCGCCCCCGGAGCUGCAGCUGCAGGACGUCUACAUCGCUGUCAAGACGACCCGCGCCUUCCACCGCUCUCGCCUGGACCUGCUGCUGGACACGUGGGUCUCCAGGACCAGGGAACAGACGUUCGUCUUCACUGACAGCCGGGAUGAAAGCCUCCAGGAGAGACUGGGGCCCCACCUAGUGGUCACCAACUGCUCUGCGGAGCACAGCCACCCAGCCCUGUCCUGCAAGAUGGCUGCUGAGCUGGACGCCUUCCUGGCCAGUGGACUGCGGUGGUUCUGCCACGUGGAUGAUGACAACUAUGUCAACGCAAGGGCGCUGCUGAAGCUACUAAAAGCCUUUCCGCAGACGCUGGACGUGUACAUAGGCCGGCCCAGCCUGAACCGGCCUAUCCACGCCGUGGAGCCGCAGCCCCACAAUCGCACGAGGCUGGUCCAGUUCUGGUUUGCCACUGGGGGUGCUGGCUUCUGCAUCAACCGGAAACUGGCUUUGAAGAUGGCCCCAUGGGCCAGUGGCCCCCGCUUCGUGGACACAUCUGCGCUCAUCCGGCUCCCUGACGACUGCACUGUGGGCUACAUAAUCGAGUGCAAGCUGGGUGGCCACCUGCAGCCCAGCCCCCUCUUCCAUUCCCACCUGGAGACCCUGCAGUUGCUGGGGGCUGCCCAGCUUCCGGAGCAGACCUCCAGGGGUGUGAUGCUAAAAUUCUCUGAACUGGUCCCCAAGUGCCAGCGGGAAGGACCUGCCCAGAUGAGACGAAGCUUGUCUUCAGGUCACCCUCAGCUACGGCGUCUUUGAGGGGAAGCUCAACGUCAUUAAGCUGCAGGGCCCAUUCUCCCCCGAGGAGGACCCCUCCAGGUUCCGCUCCCUGCAUUGUCUCCUCUACCCCGACACUCCCUGGUGCCCACAGCUGGUGGCCCGAUGAGCCCGGAACUGCCGGGCGACUGUGGAGCUGAGGCCUCUGGUUGGCCCUCGCCUCCCAAGGCAGCCCUGAGGGCCUGCGGCAGUGCCCUGGGUGGGCAGUCCCCGGCAGGGCUUCCGAGUGGUGGGCAAGCCCAGGAUCGGAUGGUGACUGGUGGUGAAGGCAUCCCAGGCUCCGGAGACGUGGGUCGGAUGGACUGGGAACCGGGUGGAGUCAGAGAGGCCCCAGGGGCUGGGCUCCCACGGGCCCUGGGUGGCUGAAUUGAACAGGGUGGGGCCAUUGAGCUGGCCUGCGGCUCAGGAGUCUUAAAUCGCAGCAACAUUACAGGGGCUUCUGGGUGGGGGUGGCCCCAGCCCAGCUCUGGUCUCUGUCACUCCCUGGGGUCAAGCACUGGGCCCGCCACUCACUCCUGGGUCCCUGGGCCUGGUCCGCAACCGCUGGGCACCGGGGGAAAGGCGGCCGGGGCUCAAGGUCUGUGGCAGGUGCUGUGGUUGCUGGCCGUCUCCAGCUCCUUGCCCCCCGCCCUGGCUAACAGGCCCCGGUUUUGUUUGGAGGGUCAGCCUGCCCGGAGCCGACGGUGGAUCAUCGUGGGUCCCAUCCAAGCUUGGCGAGCCUUUUGCUCACUCUCCCAGCUCCCCGUGCGGUUAGGCGCUUCCAUGUUCCCGGCUCUGCUAGUCAGAGCUCUGCCCCUUCGUGUGAACUGAGCAAUGCCAAGAGGGAGGAGUUGGGAAAGUGUUGCCGCCCCACCCUCCCUCUUCCCGCUGUGGAUGUGGGUGUGAUGUCUGGUUCUGGGCAGCCACUUUGCGGCCAUGAAGCAGAGGCCAGGACAACCCUCCGCACCUGUCUUGUCUAGCAUCCGGUUCUGUGAGAAAAGUAAACCCUGUCUGUUCAAGUCUC
Molecule: RNA transcript, 2256 nt
Organism: Myotis davidii
Lineage: Eukaryota; Metazoa; Chordata; Mammalia; Chiroptera; Vespertilionidae
Gene: MFNG
Gene name: MFNG O-fucosylpeptide 3-beta-N-acetylglucosaminyltransferase
Exons: 9
Source: RefSeq, a predicted model, not a curated record